GACGAACGCUGGCGGCAUGCCUAAUACAUGCAAGUCGAGCGAACAGAUGAAGUGCUUGCACUUCUGACGUUAGCGGCGAACGGGUGAGUAACACGUAAGGAAUCUACCUAUAAGCGGGGGAUAACAUUCGGAAACGGGUGCUAAUACCGCAUAAUAUCUUCUUCCGCAUGGAAGGAGAUUGAAAGACGGCUCUGCUGUCACUUAUAGAUGACCUUGCGGUGCAUUAGUUAGUUGGUGGGGUAACGGCCUACCAAGACGAUGAUGCAUAGCCGACCUGAGAGGGUGAUCGGCCACAUUGGGACUGAGACACGGCCCAAACUCCUACGGGAGGCAGCAGUAGGGAAUCUUCCGCAAUGGGCGAAAGCCUGACGGAGCAAUGCCGCGUGAGUGAAGAAGGCCUUCGGGUCGUAAAACUCUGUUAUAAGAGAAGAUCAAAUUGUAGAGCAACUGCUACAGUCUUGACGGUAUCUUAUCAGAAAGCCACGGCUAACUACGUGCCAGCCGCCGCCGUAA
Molecule: ribosomal RNA, 513 nt
Filed under: uncultured bacterium
Lineage: Bacteria
Description: partial 16S ribosomal RNA
Rfam family: Bacterial small subunit ribosomal RNA
Source: RNAcentral